GCGGCGGACGGGUGAGUAAUGCAUAGGAAUCUGCCCGGUAGUGGGGGAUAACCUGGGGAAACCCAGGCUAAUACCGCAUACGCCCUACGGGGGAAAGCAGGGGAUCUUCGGACCUUGCGCUAUCGGAUGAGCCUAUGUCGGAUUAGCUUGUUGGUGAGGUAAUGGCUCACCAAGGCGACGAUCCGUAGCUGGUCUGAGAGGAUGAUCAGCCACAUCGGGACUGAGACACGGCCCGAACUCCUACGGGAGGCAGCAGUGGGGAAUAUUGGACAAUGGGCGAAAGCCUGAUCCAGCCAUGCCGCGUGUGUGAAGAAGGCUUUCGGGUUGUAAAGCACUUUCAGUGAGGAAGAACGCCUUCGGGUUAAUACCCCGGAGGGAAGACAUUACUCACAGAAGAAGCACCGGCUAACUCCGUGCCAGCAGCCGCGGUAAUACGGAGGGUGCGAGCGUUAAUCGGAAUUACUGGGCGUAAAGCGCGCGUAGGUGGCUUGAUAAGCCGGUUGUGAAAGCCCCGGGCUCA
This 520-nucleotide ribosomal RNA is filed under the name marine sediment bacterium BB0608_AND_2.1_2S0. Its description in RNAcentral is "bacterial SSU rRNA". It matches the Rfam family "Bacterial small subunit ribosomal RNA", at positions 95 to 611 of the family's 1533-position model. The record is from RNAcentral.